Molecule: long non-coding RNA, 334 nt
Filed under: Homo sapiens (human)
Lineage: Eukaryota; Metazoa; Chordata; Mammalia; Primates; Hominidae
Description: HSALNT0061608
Source: RNAcentral
CUUAACUAAUAGGCCCUAGGUAAACCAUGGCUUUAGACAGUUUUGUACACAUGCUUGAUUGCAGGCACAAUGCUCAAAGGUGAAAAGAGGAAAACCAACUUUUCUAAUUUUUUUCAUGCUGCUUUGGGGUUCUUUCUUACAACACAAUAGUCUUUUCAAGUUCUUCCCCCGCCCUGUUUUAUAAUCAUGACUGAGUUUUUAAAAUGUUUAAUAUCUCCCUGAGCUACAUACUAUUGUUCUACAAGUUCUUUGCUUUCAUCAAAUAGUCAAUUAUAUUAUCUGUGAAUACAGGGAGGCAAUGAUAGAAAAAAGUGACUCCAGGAAGAGGCAGCUA